This 1606-nucleotide ribosomal RNA is filed under the name Campylobacter portucalensis. Its description in RNAcentral is "Bacterial large subunit ribosomal RNA". It matches the Rfam family "Bacterial large subunit ribosomal RNA", at positions 1313 to 2925 of the family's 2925-position model. The record is from Rfam by way of RNAcentral. Lineage: Bacteria; Pseudomonadati; Campylobacterota; Epsilonproteobacteria; Campylobacterales; Campylobacteraceae.
UAAAAGGGGUGAGAAUCCCCUUCGCCGAAAACCCAAGGUUUCCUACGCGAUGCUCGUCAUCGUAGGGUUAGUCGGGUCCUAAGCAAAGUCCGAAAGGGGUAUGCGAUGGAAAAUUGGUUAAUAUUCCAAUACCAACAUUAUUGUGCGAUGGAAGGACGCUUAGAGUUAAAGGAGCCAGCUGAUGGAAGUGCUGGUCGAAAGGUGUAGAUUAAAAUCCAGGCAAAUCCGGAUUUUUUUAAGUCAAAACCCUACAGGCGUUUGAAGUUCUUCGGAAUGGAUAGCGAAUCCUUGAUACUGUCGAGCCAAGAAAAGUUUCUAAGUUUAGAUAAUGUUGCCCGUACCGUAAACCGACACAGGUGGGUGGGAUGAGUAUUCUAAGGCGCGUGGAAGAACUCUCUUUAAGGAACUCUGCAAAAUAGCACCGUAUCUUCGGUAUAAGGUGUGCCUACCAGGGUGUUAAAGCCCUAGAGGUUACAACAAAGAGUCCCUCCCGACUGUUUACCAAAAACACAGCACUCUGCUAACACGUAAGUGGAUGUAUAGGGUGUGACGCCUGCCCGGUGCUCGAAGGUUAAUUGAUGGAGUUAGCUUUGCGAAGCUCUUGAUCGAAGCCCGAGUAAACGGCGGCCGUAACUAUAACGGUCCUAAGGUAGCGAAAUUCCUUGUCGGUUAAAUACCGACCUGCAUGAAUGGCGUAACGAGAUGGGAGCUGUCUCAAAGAGGGAUCCAGUGAAAUUGUAGUGGAGGUGAAAAUUCCUCCUACCCGCGGCAAGACGGAAAGACCCCGUGGACCUUUACUAUAGCUUGACACUGCUAUUUGGAUAAAGAUGUGCAGGAUAGGUGGGAGAUUAUGAUCCAUAGAUGCUAGUCUAUGAGGAGUCAUCCUUGAGAUACCACUCUUCUUUAUUUGGGUAGCUAACUAGUAUGAGUUAUCCUCAUAUAGGACAAUGUCUGGUGGGUAGUUUGACUGGGGCGGUCGCCUCCCAAAUAAUAACGGAGGCUUACAAAGGUUGGCUCAAAACGGUUGGAAAUCGUUUGUAGAGUAUAAAGGUAUAAGCCAGCUUAACUGCGAGGCAUACAGGCCAAGCAGAGACGAAAGUCGGUCUUAGUGAUCCGGUGGUUCUGCGUGGAAGGGCCAUCGCUCAAAGGAUAAAAGGUACCCCGGGGAUAACAGGCUGAUCUCCCCCAAGAGCUCACAUCGACGGGGAGGUUUGGCACCUCGAUGUCGGCUCAUCGCAUCCUGGGGCUGGAGCAGGUCCCAAGGGUAUGGCUGUUCGCCAUUUAAAGCGGUACGCGAGCUGGGUUCAGAACGUCGUGAGACAGUUCGGUCCCUAUCUGCCGUGGGCGUAAGAAGAUUGAGGAGAGUUGACCCUAGUACGAGAGGACCGGGUUGAACUAACCACUGGUGUAUCUGUUGUUCUGCCAAGAGCAUCGCAGAGUAGCUAAGUUAGGAUGUGAUAAGAGCUGAAAGCAUCUAAGCUCGAAGCCAACUCCAAGAUUAAUCUUCUUUUAAGAGCUCUUAUAGACUAUAAGUUUGAUAGGCUGGGUGUGUAAUUGAUGUAAGUCAUUUAGCUGACCAGUACUAAUAGCUCGUUUGCUUAUCUUU